AAAAAGGUAAGCUAAAAAAGCUUUUAGACUCAUAAUCUAAAUAUAGAAUAAAUCUCCUUUUUA
Molecule: transfer RNA, 63 nt
Filed under: Sinocentrus brevicornis
Lineage: Eukaryota; Metazoa; Arthropoda; Insecta; Hemiptera; Membracidae
Description: tRNA-Met
Source: RNAcentral